Rhododendron vialii is the source of this 859-nucleotide long non-coding RNA. RefSeq lists it as uncharacterized. NCBI's taxonomy places the organism in Eukaryota, Viridiplantae, Streptophyta, Magnoliopsida, Ericales, Ericaceae. The record is from RefSeq and is a predicted model, not a curated record. The transcript is spliced from 3 exons.
GGUGACUGGAGGCAUUGUUCAAGAGGAGGAGUAUUUGCUUUUCUCUUGUCAAUACAUUAGAAGUUUGAGCCAAUGUUUAUUAUAAUCCUAGAUGGGGGAGAACAUGACUUAGGUUUUCAUUUCUUAGAAGUCAUAACCCAGUUUUUCAUCUUUAGAGGCCCUGUUUGAUAACGUUAUGGAGGAGCUGGUAUUGAAGAAGAAAUAAUUUCAUUUAAUUAACCACAGAAGAUAGGGAAUAAAACAUCAUAGCAUGACAUAUUAGUUGUUGUAGAUGAGACUGAGGACCUACGCUAUUCGUGUUUAUCGUCCAAAAGUAUUAAGGGCAUACAAAAUAUCAUCUAUAACAUAACUUCGGAAAUUUUCUAGCCCAAACCUUCUGGCUCCCCACCUCACUACCGAACAUACUCGCAAAUUUUCAAGCCCAAAAAGUGUUGUGGGCUUCAUGGGCUCCACGUCACUCUCGAGUAUGAAGCGUGUACGGGGUUCAACAUGGGGGAAGAAUUCGGACGAGUUAAGGAGAAUACUUGGUCAUUCUAUUGCGGUUGAUAAUAAUCACGAAACUAUGGCGGUAGAGGUCGAGUAUUGAACUUCCUGGCUCGUGCUAUCAAGGAGCAUACAUGAGAUCAUGACUAGCUCGAGACAUUGGGUGGGGAAAGAUUUGGUUUUGGAGUCCUAUUGUUCAGCGAGUUGGUGUAAUUUGGUGUAUUGUAUACAUCUUGAAUGGAUUAAAUUCUCGUAUGAUUUGGAAUGAAUGUAUCUGUUGUCUGAGUUAUUGUAUGAGUUUAGAUGGAUUGAAUAUGUAAAGAAGUUUUACAUUUGUGAUAUUUAUAAAUUUCUAAAUGAGCUUGGAUGGGACAAA